Molecule: small nuclear RNA, 180 nt
Organism: Pelodiscus sinensis (Chinese soft-shelled turtle)
Lineage: Eukaryota; Metazoa; Chordata; Testudines; Trionychidae
Gene: U2
Rfam family: U2 spliceosomal RNA
About the family: U2 is a small nuclear RNA (snRNA) component of the spliceosome (involved in pre-mRNA splicing). Complementary binding between U2 snRNA (in an area lying towards the 5' end but 3' to hairpin I) and the branchpoint sequence (BPS) of the intron results the bulging out of an unpaired adenosine, on the BPS, which initiates a nucleophilic attack at the intronic 5' splice site, thus starting the first of two transesterification reactions that mediate splicing.
Source: Ensembl
AUCACUUCUUGGCCUUUAGAGUAACAAGUGCAGUAUCUAUUAUUAUCAGUUUAAUGUCUGACACAUCAUCUCUCUAGGGAUGGUACAUUACAUAGAUUUUUGAACUAGACGAUGGUCUAGCAGCUUGUUCCUUCCUUUCCACAAAGUGCCUCCAGAAACUCCUUAGAGGAAGGAGAGAAA